GAACGCACAUUGCGCCCUUCGGUAUUCCGUUGGGCAUGCCUGUUCGAGCGUCAUUUAAACCUUCAAGCUAUGCUUGGUGUUGGGUGUUUGUUCCGCCUCAGUGUGUGGACUCGCCUCAAAUUCAUUGGCAGCCGGUAUGUUGGCUUCGUGCGCAGCACAUUGCAAGCGACUUCAGCAAACCUCCUUCCACAAGCCUUUUUUUACUUUGACCUCGGAUCAGGUAGGGAUACCCGCUGAACUUAAG
Molecule: unclassified non-coding RNA, 244 nt
Filed under: uncultured Ascomycota
Lineage: Eukaryota; Fungi; Ascomycota
Description: sequence contains 5.8S rRNA gene
Source: RNAcentral